AUGUCGCUCAAUUUGAUCUGCAGGAGAGAGAAGGAAGGAGAGGAGGGAGAAAGGAAGAGGAAAGAGAAAAGGGAGGUGCAGCGACGGAUGGGUGAGGGUCACCGGAAGGAGCGCCGCCGGCUCGUCGCCUUUCACACCGAGGUGGAGCAAAUAUGCCUCUGUACAGCCCUCAUGCUAGCAGGGUCCUUGCAAGAAGUGGAAGGUAGAGGUCGUACGCCAGCCGGAGCAGCAGGAGCAAGUAUCUGGCGCCAUCUGCCUCCCCGUUGCACAACACCACUGCAUCUCCUUCCUGUUUUAUUUUUAGUUUUUACAUGUUCAGAUAUAGGUUGGCUUGAUCUCUUGUGUCAGGGAGGUGCGAGGUUAGGCAUUUAG
RNAcentral lists this ribosomal RNA (372 nucleotides) under Triticum aestivum (bread wheat). RNAcentral describes it as "partial small subunit ribosomal RNA". Lineage: Eukaryota; Viridiplantae; Streptophyta; Magnoliopsida; Poales; Poaceae. The record is from RNAcentral.